AUGGUCUCAGAUAUCGCCAAAUACAAGGUAUACAGUACGCUUGAUUUACGUAGUGCCUAUCACCAAAUUCCGUUACGUGAACAUGAAAAGAAGUAUACAGCUUUUGAAGCCAAUGGCAGUUUGUAUCAAUUUCGGCGAGUCCCCUUUGGCGUUACGAACGGAGUUGCUUGUUUUCAAAGGGUAAUUGACCGUCUAGUGGCCGAAAACAAAUUAGAAGCAGUAUUUGUGUAUAUCGAUAAUAUCACAAUAGGCGGAAUGGACCAAACCGAACAUGACGAAAACUUACGUAGAUUUCUUGAUGUUGCCGACAAACAUCAGCUAACAUUUAAUGAGGACAAAUGUGUGUACUCUGUCGAGUCAGUUGAUCUACUUGGAUAUACCAUCAGUCAAGGUGUUUUACGACCUGACCCUGAUCGAAUGAAGCCGCUAAGGGAACUCCCUGUUCCCCACAGUCCUAAAUCAGUGAAAAGAGCCAUGGGAAUGUUUUCGUAUUAUAGUCAAUGGAUACCAAGAUUCUCAGACAAAAUCAAACCUUUAGCUAACGCUACUUCUUUUCCGUUAGACUCUAUUGCAGUGAAAGCAUUCGAUGAUUUGAAAUCCGAUCUUGAAAACGCAAGCAUAAGUGCAAUUGAUGAAGCUAUUCCUUUUGUCGUAGAAACCGAUGCCUCGGAUUCUGCAGUAGCCGGAAGUCUCAAUCAGGGUGGAAGGCCUGUUGCUUUCUUUUCGAGAACUUUAAAUGCUCAUGAAUUAGGACACUCAUCUGUAGAAAAGGAAGCAUGUGCCAUUAUAGAUGCUGUUCGCAAAUGGAGACACUUACUUAGUGGGAAACAUUUCACUCUUGUCACUGAUCAGGAAGCAGUUUCUUAUAUGUUUGAUUCAAAGAAGCACGGUAAAGUGAAAAAUGACAAAUAAUUCGAUGGAGAACUGAAUUGAGCUGUUACAGCUAUGAUAUAAAAAUAUCCGUCCUGGACAAGACAAUGCAUCAGCCGAUUGUUUUUCUCGAGCUUACUGCUCAUCCAUCAGCUCCGAUUCUCUUUCUGAACUACAUAGUGCACUUUGCCAUCCGGGCAUCAAUCGACUUCUUCACUUCGUCCGUUCAAAGAACUUACCUUUCUCAGUUGAUGACGUCAAGAGAACAAUCAAACAGUGUGAGAUUUGUGCAAAAGUAAAACCUCAGUAUGCUAAACCGAAUGCAUCACCUCUUGUGAAAGCUACACAACCAUUUGAACGCUUAAGCAUUGAUUUUAAAGGACCACUGCCGUCUGUUAGUACAAAGAAGUAUAUUCUUACCGUUGUUGACGAAUACUCAAGAUUCCCGUUUGCCUUUCCUUGUUCCGAUAUGACAAGCGCAACAGUUAUUCAGUGUUUACGACAGUUAUUUGCUCUUUUUGGUAUGCCUGCUUAUAUUCACUCGGACCGUGGUCAAUCUUUCAUGAGUGCCGAACUCAAAACUUUUCUACAAUCGCAUGGAGUAGCUACUAGCAGGACAACGCCAUACAGCCCACAGAGCAAUGGGCAAUGUGAACGCUAUAACGGUAUCAUCUGGAAAGCCGUGACACUAGCAUUAGAAUCUUUGGGACUUAAAGAGACGCAGUGGGAGAGUGUAUUGCCAGAUGCACUGCACUCUGUUCGAAGUUUGUUAUGUACAUCAAUAAACUGUACUCCACAUGAAAGGUUUUUCAAUUUUACAAGAAGAUCAUCAUCUGGCCAAUCUAUUCCGUCGUGGUUAGCCAAUCCUGGACCAAUUUUAAUGAAAAAGCAUGUGCGUGCGACUAAAUAUGAUCCUCUCGUCGAGGAAGUAGAUCUUUUGGAAGCUAAUCCAACUUAUGCUCAUGUUAGAUUGCCUGAUGGACGCGAAACUACUGUAUCAGUCCGACAUCUAGCACCAAGAGGACAAUCAAUAAGCAAUGACAAUCUUGAUCAUUCCGUUUUGAACGAUCAUACAACUAUGGACAUUUCCGAAACCGAUGUUGAAAAUACAACACAGGAAGCUACCAACAACACGGACAACACUAUGGAAACAUCUCCCGUUAUUAGACGUUCUACACGUGAAGUUAAGAAACCAUCUAGAUUUGGAUUUGACGAUUAA
This 2089-nucleotide small RNA is filed under the name Mytilus galloprovincialis (Mediterranean mussel). The record is from RNAcentral. Lineage: Eukaryota; Metazoa; Mollusca; Bivalvia; Mytilida; Mytilidae.